UACGAAGGGGGCAAGCGUUGUUCGGAAUUACUGGGAGUAAAGGGCGCGUAGGCGGCCGAUCAAGUCAGGCGUGAAAUUCCCGGGCUCAACCUGGGGGCUGCGCUUGAUACUGAUUGGCUUGAAUGCGGGAGAGGAUAGUGGAAUUCCCAGUGUAGAGGUGAAAUUCGUAGAUAUUGGGAAGAACACCGGUGGCGAAGGCGGCUAUCUGGCCCGUAAUUGACGCUGAGGCGCGAAAGCGUGGGGAGCAAACAGG
This 253-nucleotide ribosomal RNA is filed under the name uncultured bacterium. RNAcentral's name for it is "partial 16S ribosomal RNA". It matches the Rfam family "Bacterial small subunit ribosomal RNA", at positions 524 to 776 of the family's 1533-position model. The record is from RNAcentral.